UCCCUAGUGAGGAUGGACCACGAAGUCCGUGGAGGGUGGAGGUUCGGGGCGCUUCCUGUGGUUGGCGCUAGCCUAAAAAAAUUCACGUCAAAAACGCGGCCGAAUGUCUUUUCAAUGCGACGAAAAUGGUGAAGCGUGGGAAAAAGUGGGCAUCGAGUGAAGACUUCGGUAGCUCGAAUCAUGACAGAGGCGUCGGACGAUGGUAACUACUUAGUACGGGUACGGGCACAGGUAAUGACACGGGACGAUAGUUCCGGAGGUUGGGUACCUUUAAGCGGAGGAGGCUUGGCAAAUGUCUCUGUGAGGCGAAGACCAACCUUCGUGGGAGGACAACAACCUACUAGUACUAAUAGUACCACUAUCCCUUCGGCGACGGUCACGUUGACGUCCUCAACCACCAACUCUGUGCAUUCCACCACAAGUACAACUGUCAAUACUCAAAGCCAUGGAUCUUCAAGCACGUCACCACCGUGCGCUACUAAAAGAAGACAUGAGUACCUCAUUUAUGGCAAACGCAUAACCGAUCAAUCGGUUGUUCUUAGCUGUACAAUAAAAAAGGAUUUUGAAUAUAAUAAGGUCAUGCCCACGUUUCAUCACUGGCGUACAGGAGAUAAGAAAUUUGGACUAACAUUUCAAACGGCUGCUGAUGCAAGAGCCUUCGAUAAGGGCGUUCGUACAGCAGUCGAAGAACUGUUGGAAGGUCUUGCCGAUUCAACUCAAUUUGGUGAUUCCACAGAUGUUGGUGAUGAUGACGUAUUUAUGACACUAAACUUACCAGUAGAACCCCUCGAUGUACAUCAGUCGGAAACGCGAAGCGGGAUAGGUCGCAUGCCCAGUUAUCAUUCCCAGUGCCCAGAUCUUCCGGAUCCGCACAGACCUAUCCAUUAUAUUGACGGGUCGUCCGUCAAAGUACCUCCAUCGCAACAUCCACUCGAAUCGUCCGGGGAUGUUGGAUCGGACAAUUAUCCUUACGUGCAGCUCACGACACUUAAUCAUGAAUAUUUAUACCCAGUCAUCGAGGAUCAUAAGGGAGACAGAUUAGAUAGGCGCAAUUCUGGAGGGUCUCUGAAGAAGCCAGAUAUAAUAGUAUCGCAACCUACCAAGAGUCCAGUCAAACGCAACAUCCGUUUGCGUUGUAAACAUUGCCAGGAACUGUAUUCCGAGCAACACAAUUCAAAGGGGUCCUGUGAAUAUGCCCCUGAUCCGAUAAGGCGAGGAAUCGAUACAGUGUCUUGCCUCUCUUGUGCUCAGUGCAUGCUUUAUCACUGCAUGAGCGACGCCGAGGGUGACUUCACGCAAAACCCGUGCAGUUGUAGGAUGGAAGAAGGUUGUGCUCGGCAAUGGUUCGGACUGGCACUGCUGUCGAUGAUCGUUCCUUGCUUAUUGUUUUAUCCACCGCUAAGAGCCAUCCACUGGUGCGGAAUGACCUGCGGGAUGUGCGGUGGUCGUCACUAUCCCAUGGAAUAACUGGAGGAGCCCUUUGAUAUCUCUGCUCCAUUCUCAGUCGAGCUGGAACAUUUGACGUCGUCGCGGAACGUAGUGGCCAAUGUUUACGAAUGUCACGACUUGAAUAUGGGCCGGUGUCAGAGAUAUCAAAGGGGUAGGCAGCUUCCGGUACACGCGCUUAUUCAUCAGCGUCACCUCUGAGUCAGCAUAUGCACCAUUAAAAGAAGAAACGACGGCUCUUCUUAAGCAUACAUGUGAGACCUGGUUCAAAUAUCUGUAAUUGCAGACUUCAAUGAUGACGCCUUCGAGAUGAUAAUAAUGGCUACGUUAUACGUCUGCUAAAUGCCUUUAACUUUUCGACACUGUUAUUCCAAGAAAUCAUCAAUAUUUUUUACCUGCAAGUAUACACUGCUUGGUAUUCUAACGUUUAUAUUUCGUCUCUUAUUCCUUACACUUUUUAUUACGUGCGGUUUUUGAAUUCGAUAUGAUGUGAGGCUUAGUAUGAACACACGGACUUUUACCAUGGGCACAAAUGGACACUGCUUAAAACGGGCUAAUCCACUCGCGUGGUGGCCGGUAAUAUUUUCUAAGCACACGAAGUUUACCUUACGUUUUACUUAAACCCGGAGAAAUUACUUCUUAACGUGACAAUGCCUUCAAUUUGAGCGAGAUAGAACAUAAUGUAAUAAAUAAGCUGUUUCGUUUGAACCAUCUUUACUGGAUGGUCCAUAGGUGACAUCAAUACUUAGCUCAUCAUGGAAAAUAUAGUCUAAUACCGUUGAAAUCUAGGAAUGGCAGAAUGAGAAGUACAUUAUUGCUAUUUGUUGCUCAUUUUCAAAUUUGCAAAGAAAUGCACGAGGAAAAUCCCAUAUGAUUGCUUUUCGUACAACAGUAGCUACUCAGAAACAAGUGGUUAAUUACUUUUUCGGUAUAAGUAAACGGUACUUGGUAAUGAAAGCGCAAAAGCACCGAUGGAAAUUUAAAACUAAACAACAGCCUGUCUUGUUGCUACCUUGAUUAUGUAUUAUGCCAGUCAAUGAUUUUUGACUUUAUCGAAAGUUCCUUUUUCAAAUAUGUUACGUUGUUAUAUUAACAUAAGACUUAUUCGAACUGUGGAAAGUAGAAUGCACUGAUAUUCAGAAAUAUUGAGCCUGGACUGGCUCCACGUUUCGUGUUGGCAACAUACCGAUCAAGAGACACGACAUCAUCUCUCUAGAUCUCGAUUCUGACGAAUACAACAGUAUUAAAAACAGUUUCCAUUUUUUCUCUAAUUAUUUUUAAAUGUUCUUUCCGAAGAAUCUAAUCCAGCCAACUUUGAAUGCACAAUUUUCACGUUGGAUUGCUGUUCCCAUCGUAGAAUUCAGAUGUUUUUGCUCUUAUCGAUCCUACGGCAUUUUUAAGAUUUUACCGUGUUAUACACGUUGAUUCUGAUAUUGCGUGUUUUUCUUUCUGCGACCAUAAUAUUCGUGUAAUGAAAUUUCAAUAGCUUUUUAUUUAUGAUUGUUACAUUAUCCAUGGGACUACUCCUUUCUUAAUUAUGCCGACUACUUCUAUGUCUUACUAGUGUUUCAUACCGAUAUGAUUAAUUUAAUCGAUCGUCGGAUUUUGAUAAUGAUUUUUCCGUUAAUAUUAUUAAGGCUUAUAAAUCACCUAAAGGCCCCGUACUGUUAUUAAAAUCAUAAGUGUCAGGCCCGUUUUAGCCAAUAUGAGAAUUUUCUAUAGGCGACACUUAUUAAUUGCUGUAAAGAGAAAAAAUGGAAAAAGGACAGUUCUUCCGGCUUCGUGAUUUUCAACGCACUCCAAAGAACCCAGAGAGCCUGCUUUAAUAUUCGAAUGACGUAUCCCGAAGUUGGUACACGCGUAAUACAAAUAAAAAUGAUAUAAUAAGUAAAAAAAACCAUCCACAUCUGCCACAUCCGCAGCUAUUGGAUAUGACGUAGUUAGCAAUUGUUUAAAGUAAUGUACACCGUAAAUUACCACGUUCGCCACCAGAACAACUGGCGAGGAAACUGUUACACGAUUGUCAGUCGCCGGUGCCUGCCGUGGCAGUGAACGUGUUAAACAUGUAAAAUACCGUAAGUUUUUCUACAGAUAAGGGAAACGCGACUAGUUCUUGAUGAGCGUAAGUAACGUGGUUCUUAUUAGCUCACUUACUUUUGAGAGUACGUUUUAGCUCUCCUCGUACAGCACAAAAUGUUCAAGAAUGUAAGCACCACUGUCAUUAGAGCUAUUCAAGUGAUACGCAACAUACUUUUCUCCCCAUUUUUGAUACCUACUCAGUCUCAUGUAACGCAUUAAAAAGAAUAACCAAGUAUUUCAAAUGUAAAUGUUCCCUUAGCAUCAUUACCUGGAACGGCACUUUUUCAGCUUUUGACAAAAUCUCAGCUUUAUCCACAUUUCUACCGACUGUUUGAAACUUACUCGUAAUCUUGUGUACUUCGUGUUAAUUUCUUUCAUUCCAUUUCACUUUUAUUUCAAACAGAACCUGUAAUGUACUAGUUCCCUUGAUUAUGUACAUUCCCUCUACUGAAUUUUUUUAUUUUUCCUUCCCCAAGAAGGAAUGCGUAUUUUAAUUUAUUAAUUUCUGGAUAUCUCCUUGACGAUUUCAUUUAAAAAAGAAAAUAUGUUCGGCUUUCUAUCGAAGCCCUCUUGUGCUCCUAUAUAAUGAAUAGUAACAUCGUAAGUACUUGUAAAAUGUCUUGUAUGUAUUAUUUGAAUGGCUGCUUUCUGGCUUUGUGCUGUACGAGUAUGUCCUAUUCAGUCGACUUUUUACCUAUCGAUGCAAAUCGGGGAAAAUGGAAUUAUUUAAAGAACACGGUGAUAGGCUCAAUCUCGUGAAAAUAAAAAGCUACGAACGCGCAUUCUUUCGAGCCCUGGUAUCGAAUCCUUUUUUACUGUUUCUUCGCGUUUAAUGCAAGUCUGCGACACUCGCACUAUUGGACGGAAAGUGUAUGUAUAAUGCAAUUAUUCGUUGAGAGUAAUUCUGUAUCUUUCUUUUUUUUUCUCUCUCUCUUUUUCAUUGAUCUUUCCUUUUUAUAAGGGGAAUUGCUGUUCACUGCGCUGGACACGUAUCGGAGGUAUCAUAUCUAAGGGCUCGAUAUCCUCAAUGAAAUUACAGACUGCAAAUGUACCUGCUACGGGUCCUUAGAUUAGCUUCUUCUAGAUUUUUUUAGAGCCUGCAACCUCGAAUCUGUGCUGACUUCUUUCACAGAAAAACCUGUAACGCAUUUGUUUUAUUUAAACGAUUACUCGUAUUUACACCAAAAGCAUUUCGUGUCUUACUUGAGACUAAUUAUUUUUUUACGAUCCCUAAUCGAGGCGAAACGAAUUGUUAUACAUAAAUAGGUACAUAUUCGAUUCCCUUUGUAUAGAUGUCUUCUUAGUCCUCACGUGUGGAGUACCAUUUGAAUUGACGAGUAUAAAUAUUCUUUUUGACGUAGGUGUGGAUGUUACGAAUUUCAAUGAAAUCUCUUGGUUUGUGUUAUAAUAGCUUAUGCUCAUAUGUGUUAAAGCGAUUAUAUCAAUGGGAUUUUACAUUCUUUCUUCGUUGUUACAUGUGCAUCUUCUGUGUAACUUUCUUUCUUAUAGAUGUCUAAUGAUGAUGAAAGAAAAAAAAACAAACAAACAAAACGUUUAUCCUUAUCGUGUUCUCUUGCAAUAGAAUCUUAUUAGCAUCGUUUUAUUGUACAUUAUCUUAAUGUAUCUAAAUUUGCGGUAAUCAGUAAUACCCAACAAUCGAUGUAAUAUCGUUAUAAUUAUUUGUCAGUUAAGAUAGUCCUUUGUCGCUUAAUUUCUGUACUUGAUUUGUUGAUUAGAUCCGCAAUUAUGCUGGAUCAAAGACGGAAGUAAUGUUACUCUUUGUCUCGUGAUGAAACGAGUGUUCAUGCGUUUUACUUAAUGUCAAAAUAGGAAAUCUAGCAUUACGCUGUUCCUGUGAUCAUUAUUUCGUUGCUUUAGUAAUUAGUUCCCACAUGGUGCAAGCUGGAGAGAAUUUUGUCGGGAUAGAUUCGUAAUGGAUGAUAAUAGAGGAAUGGAAUCGAUCGGGAUAAGAUGUGAAAAUGAUUGAAAAUAGCGUUGCGGAUGCAUCUCAAUUUAAUGCAUUUCUUUUCUCUUCCUUUCGCGAUAAAUGGAGAGGAAGUUAAGAACUGUGAAAUCUAUUCUGUUCUCGACAGUUAAACAACAUGUACUUAUUGAAGGAUUUCGUGUAAAUUAUGGAAACUUAUUGAAGGAUUUCGUGUAAAUUAUGGAAAUAAUAUAUUCAAUAAUGUCUCUUAAAGCACGAGCUUCUUUAAUUACGAAUACAUAAUCUCGAUAACGAUCUAUACAAGGGGAGAGUAAAAUGUACAAGAAAGGUGCUUUUUCAAGCGGAUAAUAAUGUAUUCGUUGGUAUUGACUUUUUUACGGUUUUGUAUAUUCAAAAGGUGACGGUGUGUUCCUAAGGUCUCAGAGGAGUACACUUGUAGUUUUUUUUUUGUUUUCUCCUUAGAGUAGCCAUAGACAUAAUAUUGUUUUGUACGCUCUUGUACAAGUAAACGCGCGCACGAGAGAGUUUUAACGUGUACAUGAUCGAAGAAUUUCCUCUUCGGAAAGUCGAGUUUCAGAUAAAAAUAAUAACAACGUGUAGGGAAAGAAACAAUAUGCGGCAUCCUAAGUUAUAUUCUAUUCUUCUAAUGCCAGUACUCCUUCAAGCGUUCGUUUCAAUUGUAGUUUAGUAUGCGACCCUCCAAAGAGCUUCGAACAUUCUACUGUUACGAUUUGAUGAAUCUGGAUCAAAGUUAGAACCGAUUGAAAACAUCCAGUGUCAUUUAAUUGUGCUUCAUCAUUGCGCCAUUAAUUGUAGUAUUACAUUUAAAUUAUUAAAGAUUCCGCGAGAAGUUUGUAAACGCUUUUGGUAGGAAGCUCUAUGACAUGAUUCAAAGUCACAAAUCGUUGAAAAUUGUGAAGAUCGAGCGUCUCUCAAAGUGUACAUAAUAUGACGUUGUUUACUGCCAUGGUUAUCAUUUAAUUUAGUCGUUCGUGUAAUUACCACAAUUUUACUAAUUUGAAGUAUUACAUCGAUAUAUCCAACGUACACAUUGUAUGUACAAUAAUCUAUAAUAUUGUGACACUUUUAGUUAGAAAUAAGUACAAAAGCUAUUUUCCCAAUAAGUCAGUUACGAUGACUCAUACCAAAUGAGGAUAUGCAUGUAAUCAUCUUAAAAGGUACAAUGCCGAGUGGAUGUGUAUAUUUCAGUAGACGAAGAAAAUUGUAAUUAAGUUGCUGCCGUUAAUAGAGUUUGAAUGCAAGAUGUAAAUGUGUUGAGAAUUAUAUCGUGUCUAUAAUUACAUUGAUCCAUGAUAAAAUGGAGGUUAUUAUAAAGUAACGUGUAACAAUGAUAGCGACGAUAAUUAUCGGGAGAGAGAGGAGAAUGAAUAUACAUGUACAAACGAAAGGUCAAAAUUGCGUACGUGUAUUAAGAGUGUGAGAGAAUGCUCAAUUGAAGGAGGUUCACUGAGGUGCCCUGUCGUUCUUAUCAAUAAUUUUAAUCGCGUCAGUGGUCAUACUAAAGUGGGACGACUUCGGUUGUUGAAUCCAUUUUGCAGGGUUUUCCAUGCAUGUUGUAAAUGCUGCGAGAUCAACGAGUAAGAUUUUAAUUCACCAAUUCAUUAUAUCAUAAAUGUUUAAAUCUUAUAUCACUGUAAUUAAAUAAAUAUGUAUUAUAAUCUCAAUGAAUGAAAAAUAAAUAUAUUGUAUUAUGACGUAA
This 7190-nucleotide unclassified non-coding RNA is filed under the name Orussus abietinus. RNAcentral describes it as "sprouty-related, EVH1 domain-containing protein 1, transcript variant X1". Lineage: Eukaryota; Metazoa; Arthropoda; Insecta; Hymenoptera; Orussidae. The record is from RNAcentral.